GUGCUCACUUCUGCAGCACAUAUGCUAAAAUUGGAAUGAUAGAAGAUUAAUUAGCAUGGCUCCUGAGCAUGGAUGACAUGAAAAUUUGUGAAGUAUUCCAUAUCUAA
Neomonachus schauinslandi (Hawaiian monk seal) is the source of this 107-nucleotide small nuclear RNA. Lineage: Eukaryota; Metazoa; Chordata; Mammalia; Carnivora; Phocidae. The record is from RefSeq and is a predicted model, not a curated record.